UCUUGCCAAAUCCUCAGAUGUAGUCCAUACCAAACAUUUGACAUUUCUAUCUCACCUUGCGAAUCCAGAAGUAUUGUUCGGUCACUUACCUUCUUAAACCCUUUUCACAGGUAUUGUUAUUUGUACAAAUAAAAUUUGAGUCUUGGUCCGAGUGGGAUAGCAUUUAACUUCUACGUGUCCAUGGGAUCUGUGCAAAUACAAAAUACGGUUUCGAUAUAAUACAGAAUGAGGAUACAAAAAGGAACCAUCCAACUUAAUGCUGCUCUUCGAAUUCCACAAUAUCAAUAGACAAUUAAUGAACCAAAAUGGAAGUGGACGAUAGUGCAGAUUUCUAUCAAAGCAGUGUCAUUUGGAAAUUUUUAUUGCACUUUAUCUGUAUUCUUG
RNAcentral lists this long non-coding RNA (384 nucleotides) under Olea europaea (common olive). RNAcentral describes it as "long non-coding RNA (OEUR_LNC003549)". Lineage: Eukaryota; Viridiplantae; Streptophyta; Magnoliopsida; Lamiales; Oleaceae. The record is from RNAcentral.